GUGCGAUGCCGCUCACAGCCUGGAAGAGGAGGAUGAUACCUGGGGAAAUACUGAGCUCGAAGUGGUGGAGCAGUCAUCUGCUAAAUCAGUUACCCUGGGUGCUGCAGCUGGUGGACAGCUGGCUGCCGCAGCGUCCCCAACCGCUACGGCCCUGACCGACAGCCCUCGCACGCCCUCCGCUGCCUCGGCCAGAGGACAGCUGGCUGCCGCGGGGUCCCUGAACGCUACAGCCCUGACCGACAGCCCUCGCACGCCCUCCGCUGCCUCGGCCAGAGGACAGCUGGCUGCCGCGGGGUCCCUGUACGCUACGGC
This is a long non-coding RNA of Ixodes scapularis (black-legged tick), 312 nucleotides long. RefSeq lists it as uncharacterized. The record is from RefSeq and is a predicted model, not a curated record. Lineage: Eukaryota; Metazoa; Arthropoda; Arachnida; Ixodida; Ixodidae. The transcript is spliced from 4 exons.